GACAGGUUCAGCUAAAUAAGCUUUCGGGCCCAUAACCCGAACAUGAUGGUGAAAAACCAUCCCCUAUCA
RNAcentral lists this transfer RNA (69 nucleotides) under Horadandia atukorali (golden rasbora). Its description in RNAcentral is "tRNA-Met". The record is from RNAcentral. Lineage: Eukaryota; Metazoa; Chordata; Actinopteri; Cypriniformes; Danionidae.